UUUUUAUCACAUUUCGGACGACAUGCUAUACUAUGAUUUUUUCAUGAUUUUGGUCGACAUACCACAUUUUCUAAUGACAUGACUUUUCAGAGCUGCCCAGCUUCGGUGGAGCCUCCCAGUGGAGCCAUCCAGCCCUGUCACAUCAGAGAGGCUAUCAGAAGAUACAACUACAGACACACAAGUGCCUACUGGAGGAGUGGGAUGGCUUUCCUCACCUGCUGAAGAUGCAAGACAUUCUCACACAUACCUGCACAAAUAGUUUACUUUUCUUGUUCCUUUGUUGUAAUAAAGAUUUUUCAGCAAGC
This is a long non-coding RNA of Epinephelus moara (kelp grouper), 305 nucleotides long. RefSeq lists it as uncharacterized. The transcript has 2 exons. NCBI's taxonomy places the organism in Eukaryota, Metazoa, Chordata, Actinopteri, Perciformes, Serranidae. The record is from RefSeq and is a predicted model, not a curated record.